UUAAUCCUUAAAAUUUAAAAAUUAAAAGCAACUAUGUUACUAUAUGUCUUAAGAAACGAAGCAUGCUUGAGUGAGUCUUGGAUCACCUGUUUUAGUCUCUUCUGGCUAGAAGAAUCAGUAAGAUCUUGACAGUAUUGUUGCAGGCACUUUGGUGAUGUGCUACCCUGAGAAAUCCUGAAUUGCACCAACAUAUCACUGGGGUCUCUUUAGCAAAAACCAUCCUUGUGAGCAUGUAGACUAUAUUAGAGUUUGUCAAGCAGAGCUCCCACAGAGCUGAGCCUUGCAAAGCACACAACAUCUGGAAAAGAAAGUUUCUUUGGAAAUCAGAUCAUGUAAAUAAGCCCGUAGGGGGCUAGUGGGUUGGGUAGCCCUGCUCAGUCGGUGAUGGAGGAAGCUGCUGCAGGGAGAUUCUGACACGAUGACCACUGGUCUGUCUAUGGGUCAUCCAUGCAAUUCCUCAUUGUUUUGACCCUCCUGACCAACCUCACUUCUCUCUUACCGCCAAUCAUAGAUCUCUGAAGAGAAACCUCUAGGCUGGACCACACACAGACCUGCAAACAAUGAGGCCCAGAAAACAGAUACUGCCUUUGUUAUCCAGUGGAUGAUUCCAACUCACAGCCAGCAAUCUAUGCUUUCAAUAACGAGGAGAAGGACUGACAAGAAUCAAGCACAUACAAGGAAAGCAGUCAUGUGUUUAAGGACAUACAUGAAAAUAUCCAACAGGUUUCCCGCAGCACUCCAUAAGUCAAAUUGCAUAGCGAGCUUGAUAUUCAAGUUAAAAAAAAAAAAAAAGAGAGAGAGAGAAAAGAAAAAAGCUUUUGUUUUGUCUAUAUUUUUUAAAAAAGCGUUUUCAAGUAUUAUUUUACUGUUUUUAAUUAUUAAUGAAUUAUUAUUUAAUUAUUAAUCUCAAGGCAACAAGCUCUGCUAUUAGCUCCCUUUGACAAAGGAGAAAAUAAAGGUUAAGAAAAAUCUGAUUGCUCUUGACUAUCUGAGGGUACAAAACUAAUUAUUAUUAUUAUUUUUUGAAAUGGAGUUUAGCUCUUGUUGCCCAGGCUGGAGUGCAAUGGCUCAGUCUCGGCUCACGGUAACAUCUGCCUCCUGGGUUCAAGCGAUUCUCCUGCCUCAGCCUCACAAGUAGCGGGGUAUUACAGGCAUGUGCCACCACGCACAGCUAAUUUUGUAUUUUUAGUAGACAUGGGGUUUCACCAUGUUGGCCAGGCUGGUCUCAAACUCCUGACCUCAGCUGAUCUGCCUGCCUUGGCCUCCCAAAGUGCUGGGAUUACAGGCGUGAGCCACCACGCCCAGCCUGAAGCUAAUUAUUAAGACUGUUAAAUAGAGCCUGAGUUUGAGACUAAGAUGCUGUCUACUAGGUAAAAAUAUUUUUCUGUAGCCCAUUUAAUCAUUAAGCACAAUAUAAAUUUUGAUCUUCACAUACAUUUUUACCAUUAGAGUUUAAGCAUAUUUAUUUCAUAAAGGAAAUAUAAAAUGACCUCUCAUUUAUUUAUUUAUCUAUCUAUCUUUGGUAAAGGAUGUCCAAAAACUAACCAGUCUGAAAUGGUAUUGAUUUAAGAAAAUACAUUUUCAUGAAAACCAGCCACUGGAGCUUGGAACUGCUUUUAUUCAUCUCCCUCCCCAUACCAGCAACAACAGUGCUUCAACAGAAAAGGAAAUUUAUAGAGAUCGAGAUGGGACCCAUCAUUAUGGAGCAUGGGCCACAUGGGGGUGAGCACAUAUCCAGGAAUAAUCUCGAGUGGAGGUGCCUGGAAGAAGCCUCAGGACCACUGGAGUUGAAAGAUGACAAGACAUAAUGGGAGGAUGAUUGGAUUGAAAGCGGAGUCACUGAUACACCACUUUCCAGGUGCCACCUCUUUGCAUCAUAUUGACCCUGUUAAGUUUAAUAUGAUACAGGUAAGGCUGACAGACAGAGCUGAGAGCCUGGAUUAAAAGCAUAAAACCCACAAAGCCGAAUUUAAUGAAGCAAACUUUUGCCAACGACCCUGGUGUUUGGUACAAACCUGAUAGCUUUCCUAGUGCAAGUUCUGGGUCACAGAGCAUAUGUUGGCUAGCAUCUACUCUCAUUCCCGAUUAAUUAUAGAUGCUGGAUCUAUAAGAUCCUUUGUUAGAAAUAACUAAAUAAUAA
This 2140-nucleotide long non-coding RNA is filed under the name Homo sapiens (human). RNAcentral's name for it is "HSALNT0264721". The record is from RNAcentral. Lineage: Eukaryota; Metazoa; Chordata; Mammalia; Primates; Hominidae.